This 480-nucleotide ribosomal RNA is filed under the name uncultured bacterium. RNAcentral describes it as "partial 16S ribosomal RNA". It matches the Rfam family "Bacterial small subunit ribosomal RNA", at positions 28 to 523 of the family's 1533-position model. The record is from RNAcentral.
GACGAACGCUGGCGGCGUGCUUAACACAUGCAAGUCGAACGAUGAAGUUCCUUCGGGAAUGGAUUAGUGGCGAACGGGUGAGAAACACGUGAGAAACCUGCCUUUCACUUUGGGAUAACUCCGGGAAACCGGAGCUAACACCGAAUACUCCGUCUCGGCGGCAUCGCUGAGCCGGGAAAAAAUUAUGAUGAAAGAUGGUCUCGCGGCCUAUCAGCUAGUUGGUGAGGUAAUGGCUCACCAAGGCGACGACGGGUAGCCGGCCUGAGAGGGCGACCGGCCACACUGGGACUGAGACACGGCCCAGACUCCUACGGGAGGCAGCAGUGGGGAAUAUUGGGCAAUGGGCGCAAGCCUGACCCAGCGACGCCGCGUGAGGGAUGAAGGCCUUCGGGUUGUAAACCUCUUUCAGUAGGGAAGAAGCGAAAGUGACGGUACCUAAAGAAGAAGCACCGGCUAACUAUGUGCCAGCCGCCGCAGUAA